UUCAGUGUGUCUCACAACUGGGAUUUAACAGAAGCAGCUCAGCCCCUCGGGCUAUCACCAAACAUAUCACACCCCAAGACAGUCUCACAGCACCAGGAUUACACGAUGGAGAAUCUCAUCAGGAUGGGGGUGUCAGUCUUCAUUCUUGUGAUUCUUGGCAUUCUGCUGUUUGAAGCUCAGCAUAGCCAAAGACGGACACAACAUGCAGCAGGAAGAGAAAGCAGUACAUUUUUCAUGGUGGCAGAGACCUGGGGAUAAGUCCAAGGAUCUCAGGUGGUUCUGUAAGAAAAAUCUGGGACUAUAGUAGGGAACCAUUUUCAGAGAACAUACAAGGGAGGAAAAGUGGUUUGAGUGUAGGGAAGCACCUGGGUAGUCUGGUGGAAAGGUCUUCUAUAGCCAAUCAUUUGGCUAUCUCUUCACCUUGAUGUGUAUGUUAGCUGACAGUCUUCUCUCUCUUUCCACCUCCAAUAAAGAAGAAGGAACAGUCUUGUUUCAUCAGUC
Molecule: long non-coding RNA, 501 nt
Filed under: Rattus norvegicus (Norway rat)
Lineage: Eukaryota; Metazoa; Chordata; Mammalia; Rodentia; Muridae
Description: long non-coding RNA NONRATT000341
Source: RNAcentral